GGAGGAUUACCCAAGUCUGGCUGAAGGGAACGGUCUUGAAAACCGUCAGGUGGGUAAAACCACGCAAGAGUUCGAAUCUCUUAUCCUCCU
Molecule: transfer RNA, 90 nt
Rfam family: tRNA
About the family: Transfer RNA (tRNA) molecules are approximately 80 nucleotides in length. Their secondary structure includes four short double-helical elements and three loops (D, anti-codon, and T loops).
Source: Rfam